GACGAACGCUGGCGGCGUGCUUAACACAUGCAAGUCGAACGGUGAAGCGCCUUCCUUUUUGGUGGGUGUGGAUGAGUGGCGAACGGGUGAGUAACACGUGAGUAACCUGCCCCCUUCUUCUGGAUAACCGCAUGAAAGUGUGGCUAAUACGGGAUAUUCUGGGUCUGUCGCAUGAUGGGUCUGGGAAAGAUAUUGUUUCGGUGGGGGAUGGGCUCGCGGCCUAUCAGCUUGUUGGUGGGGUGAUGGCCUACCAAGGCGGUGACGGGUAGCCGGCCUGAGAGGGUGGACGGUCACACUGGGACUGAGACACGGCCCAGACUCCUACGGGAGGCAGCAGUGGGGAAUAUUGCACAAAGGGCGCAAGCCUGAUGCAGCGACGCCGCGUGAGGGAUGGAGGCCUUCGGGUUGUGAACCUCUUUCGCCAGUGAAGCAGGCCUGCCUCGUUUGUGGGUGGGUUGACGGUAGCUGGAUAAGAAGCGCCGGCUAACUACGUG
This 494-nucleotide ribosomal RNA is filed under the name uncultured bacterium. Its description in RNAcentral is "partial 16S ribosomal RNA". It matches the Rfam family "Bacterial small subunit ribosomal RNA", at positions 28 to 507 of the family's 1533-position model. The record is from RNAcentral.